GCCUGGGUGGCUCAGUCGGUUAAGCAUCUGACUUCGGCUCAGGUCAUGAUCUCAGGGUUCGUGGGUUCGAGCCCCACACGGGGCU
RNAcentral lists this transfer RNA (85 nucleotides) under Felis catus (domestic cat). It matches the Rfam family "tRNA". Rfam says of the family: Transfer RNA (tRNA) molecules are approximately 80 nucleotides in length. Lineage: Eukaryota; Metazoa; Chordata; Mammalia; Carnivora; Felidae. The record is from Rfam by way of RNAcentral. RNAcentral also lists the same sequence under 4 other names.